AUUUUAAAUACAAAGUGAGUGAUUUAGUUUUGAGAAAAUUAAUGAUCAUUAUUCUGCAGUUACUUUUGCAUUUGUUAUUAUAAAGUGACAGUUGUGACUUAGAAAACUACUUUUUAGUGUAGAUGUGACUAAAUUUAUUUUUGGUCACUAAAUAUGUGAGUCAAUAUAGAAAGUUAAAUUUAAUAAAGUAUUCAUUUGUUUUACUUCAAUAUCUUAAUACCAUUACUAGAUAGUGAGACUUGUAUUAUUGUGAUAAAAGGUUGUUAAUAUUUUGUAGGGACAUACACAUUGCCUAACAUCACCCAUCUUUAUUUCCCAUGAUCCUCUAUGGUUAUGUCGUGUUAGUGGUCAAUCUAAUCAUUAGAACCUGAAUACUAAACUUCAUUUAGUCACAGUGUUUUGUUUUUAACUCUUUUUAAACAUUUUCUUACAACAUAAUUUGGAGUUAUUCAACUUGUCAGCGACAUCUUUAUCAAUAUGUAAGUUGAAAUCAGCAAACAUUUCUUAUGAAAAUCUUUAGAAUAAAAGCGAGGAAAGAAGUAAAAUGCCCUGUUUGUAAUCACUGGUAUAGAUGUCCGCACCGAUGUCAUCUGAAGUGUAUCUUAGUGCGUUUUUAAUCACUGGUGUAUCUACUUACCUUUUCCCCAUCAUUAGUAUUAAGAGCACUUAGCUAUUUACUUUUUAAUUUUCUGUAGUUUCUCAGAUCAUCAAGAGAGACUAAAGUUAAGUAUUUGGGGAGCAGAAGUCAAAUUAACCUAAAUAACUUUUUUUCUACUUUUCCUUGUAAUAAUAUAUCAGAUUGUCAGUGACCAGAUUAUUUAUGACAAUCAAUUGUAAGAGAAGAAUACCACGUUAGUUUGGCUUGAAAGAUAAAUGUCAAAAAAUCUUACAGAGUCAUUUGUGCAAAUAACUAUGUAAUUAAGAUAUCCAAGAAAAUUUGCCUUAAUAUUUAGAGGUUACUUAGUAAAAAUCAAGAGGGGAAAAAAAGGAUGCAAAGUCUAGCUGCUGUUCUUAAUUUCACUGGUGCACCAUUUGCAUAAGUUUUAUUAAUUUCACAAUGGCAAUUACCAUGGGAAGAGUACUUAAGAGCUGCACAUAACUGAAGCAUUAGAUGUUAUUUCCUUUUAGCUGUUGUUCAAAAUGAGGGUGGUGCCUUUGUCAGUUUAAAUUCCUGUAAGUAUGUAACUCCUAGACUAUGAGUAUACAUUUUGUAAAUCCUUGAAAAGUAUAGUAAUUAUAUUCAUUGUUAUGUUACUACCAGUCAUUGCAAUUUAUAAAAAUUCCCUGAAAUAAUACAUAAAGUAAAAAUUUUACAGUAUCAAUUUUAGUGCGAUAGUGAAUAACAUGUGUCUGAUGCCUAGAAAGAGAAAAAAAUCAUAAAUACAUAUCAAGUUAGGUGAAUCUUUGGUGAGAAUUACACAAGGUGGGAAAUAGAGUGGCAGUUAAGAGACUCGGGUAAGAAAUUUAGUUACAAAUGGAACUAGGAGCUUCUCGGUGGAAAAAGAAGUAAGCAAAUGUAAGGAAUACAAACCCUGGAAAAUAGCAGAAGGGAGAAAGAUUAAACUGAUAUCUAUUAGAGCAGAAAUCUAUAGUAAAAUGUGGGUGUUCUGAUGAAUAAAAGGAGAUUCAGAAUGGAAAGAAGAGCUAAAGGAACUGAAUGCUGGAUUGUUGAUUGCUGUUUAUUAUGAUACCACUGGCUUCUAUGCGGAGCAUGAUUUCUAGGUGGCAAUACUUGAUGUGAGGGGAUCAGGUAGAAGAAGUUACAGCAGAUGACCUCUGAUCGAAUCUUUGAGGAAGGAGUAACUUGGUUCUGAGGCUGCUUCAGAGAUGUUCCAAAGUCCUUCAGGGCAAAGUACUCAGCAAGCCAAAUCACCAUGCACUGGGUAUCAUUUUCUAAGCCUAAGAGCAUUACAUGUGUUCUUUUUCUAGUUUCAAAUUUAUUGUCUGAUUUAUUUAAAUAUCCCAUAACAUUUGAAAUAAGGGUCUCUUUUUAAUAUAAUGAAACAUUUCAGUGUAUAUGUUUAUGUGUAUGUAUUAUAUUCAAUAUUUUAUUGACAUUUUCCUUACCUGUUUGAAUAUUUUGUGUAUUUGAUCUUUCAUGGCCUUAGAGAGGGAAGAAAGUCUUUAACAUCACUUUGGGUCUGUCUUUUCCUGUUUGUCAUUUCUACAGUUAAUGCAGUUCUUGCUUUACGCAUGUUGAAGCUGUGUUAUUUCAUACAUGAAGUUUCACAAGAGAUAAUCCUAUGUUAUAGCGUUUUCCUUUUAUACCAUGUUUCUCAUAAAAUGCCCGUCUUUAAAGUUGGACAUCUGAGCAAUAAAAUAUUGUAAUCCUUUGUGUAAACAUGUCCAGUAUUAUCAGCAAUUGGAUGUAUCCAGAUUGUGGUAGUGUGAAAACAUGGUUCCUAAAAUAUAUUAUAGUAAAAUAGGAAGAACAAAGUUAUAUAAUACUUCCUUGCUAAUUUUAUUCAAUAUUUGGAUACCAGAAGUAUUUUGUAGUGUUCAUAAAUCACUGCACAAUCUGUUUCACAUUUACCAGUUAUGUCCCCCAUAACUUCUCUACACAUCCAGACUUUUCUACACAUUAUUACAUAUAUGCUAUAUAUGCUAUAGUCUUAUUAACUAAGCAUAUUUGAUUUCAAGAUGCCACUUCUGAUCACUAUACAUUGGCAAAAGAUUAAAAUAUUGAAAACUCUCUAUGUAUUUCUAUAGUGGAAGCACAAACAUAAAUUUUUAUAUUAAAAUGCCCUGUAGGUAUCAAGUUAUUAAAUCUUCUUUAGAAAACUUAAAUUUUAUCUCACUGUCCCUCUAGAUUAUUCUAUUUUACUGGGGAAAAACAUAAAUCCUUAUUUUUAUCAGCCUUUUCAUUUGCUUUACAUACUUUUUGGGUGUAGGUGUUGUUGGUAGGGGAAGUUUUAUUGGUCAAAAAAGUUUGGGAAAUGUUGCAUUGCUCAUAGCCUUUAUACCCCUUCUUGGAGACUUAAAGUUAACAUUAGCAUAUUUAAGACCAUAAGAAGUCUAUUUUACUGCCUUUGUGAUAUUUUUUGACAUCUAAGGAACACAAUUUGGUAAUUUUACUGUAGAUACAUUUAUUUUAAAAGCAGGUUCAGGAAGGCUAUAUAACUUCUUAAUGCCAAUGAAAGAUCAACUUUUGUUGUAAAUUCACAUAAACAGGAAUAUUCCAAGGGCAAGCUCCUUCUGUGGUCACUGUGUGUGUUCCCUCCCAGGGAUCCUGCUAAACCACAUGUUCUAUGGAAAUGGGGGCACAUUGACAGGUUUGCAUUUUCCACCUUAUACUUCACACACUGCUGGAAAUGCAAGCUUCUCUUUUUGUGGUUCAAGUGAUUAACACAUUUGAUUUUAUGUCUAUUGUCUUUCUAGCUCUAUUUGAAAUAAAAUAUUCCUAUUGCUUAUGAAACUGUCUAUAAUGCUAAGCCUUAACUGUCAUCAUAAGAACAACUGUUGUGGUAAAGUAAGCAGUGGACUUCCCAUUAGACAACAGAGGUUUAGCGUCUGGCCCCACCACUGCUGAAAUAUGUGAGGUGUGAAAAGUUGUUUCAAUUAUGUGACUCUGCUUCCUUAAAUGUGAAAUUGAGGUAAUCAUAUGCAUAAGACUAUUCUUACAGAUUUAAUUGUAUGACCCUUUUAAGGAGAAAAGCAUUACUGUUUUGUCAUUUUGCUUUCUAUAUUUAACAAAAUAUCUCCUGUUAAAUGUUUGGAGGUUAUACAAAAGUUUUAGCUGCUCACAUCAAUUUGUUGCCCUUCUGGAGAGUUAACGCUAUUUUGUAAAAGAUAUUUCUAGAGAAAUCUCGCUCUGCAAUUAGAACUUGCUUUUUGAAUAGGUCAAGAUUAGUGUCAUAGAAUGAAGAUGUAAGAAUUUGAAAAGGUAUUUGAAAUAACCUUGCUUUUCAUUGUCUCUCCUCCUACCCAUUCCAUUGCUGAGAAAAUGGAUGACUAGAGAAGCUAAAAGAAGCUAAAUUACUUGCAACAGGCUGAAGAGGAAGAGGAAGAGGAGGUGUUGGUCUUGAUGUCUCAGGGCAGGCAGAGGUGGAAGGAAAUCUGUGUGUAAAGCGCCUGCACAAUUCAAACCCAUGCUGUUCGAGGGUCAACUGCAUUCUUGAAAAUUGCUAAAAGAGUCCAUUCCUUGCAUCCCAGGGAUGAAGCCCACUUGAUCAUGGUGGAUAAGCUGUUUGAUGUGCUGCUGGAUUCGGUUUGCCAGUAUUUUAUUGAGGAUUUUUGCAUCGAUGUUCAUCAAAUUAAUUCAAGAUGGAUUAAAGACUUAAAUGUUAGACCUAAAACCAUAAAAACCCUAGAAGAAAACCUAGGCAAUACCAUUCAGGACAUAGGCAUGGGCAAGGACUUCCUGUCUAAAACACCAAAAGCAAUGGCAACAAAAGCCAAAAUUGACAAAUGGGAUCUAAUUAAACUAAAGAGCUUCUGCACAGCAAAAGAAACUACCAUCAGAGUGAACAGGCAACCUACAGAAUGGGAGAAAAUUUUUGCAAUCUACUCAUCUGACAAAGGGCUAAUAUCCAGAAUCUACAAUGAACUCAAACAAGUUUAC
Long non-coding RNA from Pan troglodytes (chimpanzee), 4561 nucleotides. RefSeq lists it as uncharacterized. NCBI's taxonomy places the organism in Eukaryota, Metazoa, Chordata, Mammalia, Primates, Hominidae. The transcript has 3 exons. The record is from RefSeq and is a predicted model, not a curated record.